Molecule: long non-coding RNA, 566 nt
Filed under: Mus caroli (Ryukyu mouse)
Lineage: Eukaryota; Metazoa; Chordata; Mammalia; Rodentia; Muridae
Description: lncRNA (MGP_CAROLIEiJ_G0004993.1)
Source: RNAcentral
AUGGUGUCCUACCUUCUUUUGAAACUAGAGGGUUCUGCACGGCCCAGCGUCUGCUUUCUAUUUCUGUGGUUCAGACACGACUGUUUGUUAAGAUAAUGAUGGAGAACACUGACAUCAGGCACACAUGGGACUUAACGGAUUUUGCUGACUAUUUUUGAAAGCUCUAUAGGAUGUGUGGUAAGGAGCAGGGUGCAUUCGCCCUGGCUCUGCUGGUGCAGCUCAGUAUGUUUGGGAGUAACUGUGGCUUCUGAACCAGACUCACACUGUGUAGCCAUGGAAGAGCAAAGCGCUGUGUGCUACAUAAACUGUGCCUCUGCUAUACACAAGCAAGAUUGUCAGACGGCAAGCCCAAACGUGUGUUCUUUCUAUUGUCCCAUUAAAAGGACAAUCUGGAAGAUGCCACCUGGUCAAUCGAUUCAUAUUCUCCACCUGACACAGGGCAGCCUGCCAACCUGACACUUAUUCUCAGGCUGCUUUUCUUUGCUAGGGUAGCCACUAUUUUUUUUUCUCAUUUGGUUUUUGUAAGUAUUCAAAUUUGAGCAAAAAUAAAAAAUGUUCAGCUAAUC